Molecule: ribosomal RNA, 305 nt
Filed under: uncultured soil bacterium
Lineage: Bacteria
Description: bacterial SSU rRNA
Rfam family: Bacterial small subunit ribosomal RNA
Source: RNAcentral
AGGAUGAACGCUGGCGGCGUGCUUAACACAUGCAAGUCGAACGAUGAAGGCUGGAGCUUGCUCUGGCUGGAUUAGUGGCGAACGGGUGAGUAACACGUGAGUAACCUGCCCCAGACUCUGGGAUAAGCGCUGGAAACGGCGUCUAAUACCGGAUACGAGCUUCCACCGCAUGGUGAGGAGCUGGAAAGAAUUUCGGCUGGGAUGGACUCGCGGCCUAUCAGCUUGUUGGUGAGGUAAUGGCUCACCAAGGCGACGACGGGUAGCCGGCCUGAGAGGGUGACCGGCACACUGGGACUGAGACACGG